CCUACGGGUGGCAGCAGUCGAGAAUCAUUCACAAUGGGGGAAACCCUGGUGGUGCGACGCCGCGUGGGGGAAUGAAGGUCUUCGGAUUGUAAACCCCUGUCAUGUGGGAGCAAAUUAAAAAGAUAGUACCACAAGAGGAAGAGACGGCUAACGCUGUUCCAGCAGCCGCGGUAAUACAGAGGUCUCAAGCGUUGUUCGGAAGCACUGGGCGUAAAGCGUGCGUAGGCUGUUUCGUAAGUCGUGUGUGAAAGGCGCGGGCUCAACCCGCGGACGGCACAUGAUACUGCGAGACUAGAGUAAUGGAGGGGGAACCGGAAUUCUCGGUGUAGCAGUGAAAUGCGUAGAUAUCGAGAGGAACACUCGUGGCGAAGGCGGGUUCCUGGACAUUAACUGACGCUGAGGCACGAAGGCCAGGGGAGCGAAAGGGAUUAGAUACCCCAGUAGUC
Molecule: ribosomal RNA, 446 nt
Filed under: uncultured bacterium
Lineage: Bacteria
Description: partial 16S ribosomal RNA
Rfam family: Bacterial small subunit ribosomal RNA
Source: RNAcentral